RNAcentral lists this long non-coding RNA (758 nucleotides) under Mytilus galloprovincialis (Mediterranean mussel). Lineage: Eukaryota; Metazoa; Mollusca; Bivalvia; Mytilida; Mytilidae. The record is from RNAcentral.
AUAUUUCUACAUUCUUCAUGUGAUGAAUAAUAAUCGCCAAAGUCAUGCACUGAGGGUUUCUGUUUCUUUAGAGAGAUUGCCGCAAAUCACCUUUGGCUAUUAAUAUUGAAUAAAUUAAAUAUACCACUGAAGAACUUGAUUUGAAUUUUGUUCUUGUUAGCUUCACUAAAUACUUUUUCAAUUACAGGUAGCUUACUUAUGUUAAAAUCUCAACAAUUCAUUAAGAAAAUUCAAAUCAAGGGGAAACCCAAAACAAAAAUGGAUGCAUUUGCAUGAAUUUCAAAAAAGGCUACACCAUCUGUCAGCAGAGUAAACAUUUACUAUGCAUGCAUCACACAUCAUGCAAAUCCACUGUCAAAUUGUCAGGAUAUGGAAUGGAACACAUGAUUAACAGCCCACUUUUUUUGUUUAAAUUCUUAUAAUAACCUACAGUAAAUUAGGGGCUACAAUUCACAAUUCAAUGUUGUAUUGAUUCUUAAUUUACAGUACAGAAGGAGCUACUGUUUACCGUUGCAUCAGUGACAAUGCCUAAUUCACUGUCGUUUCAAGUGGCAGUUUGUUGAAUUCAAAUUGAUAAAUCUUUUUAACCUAAAUACAGGAGGAUGAGAGUAUAUUUUAAACAAGAAUAAGUCCACAGUACACGAAUGCCCCAAUCGCACUAUCAUUUUCAAUGUUCAAAGGACCGUGAAAUUAGGUAAAAUAUCUAAUUUGGCAUAAAAAUUAGAAAUGAUCAUAUCAUAAGGAACAUGUGUACCUUG